RNAcentral lists this long non-coding RNA (1044 nucleotides) under Felis catus (domestic cat). Its description in RNAcentral is "lncRNA (ENSFCAG00000048878.1)". Lineage: Eukaryota; Metazoa; Chordata; Mammalia; Carnivora; Felidae. The record is from RNAcentral.
CCCUAAUAACCAUCUUAAUAUUAGAGAUUUCCCCUUUGCCUUAGUUUUCUUUGCUUCAAAUCCAUACCUGCCCAUUGUCCAAUUCUGCCUUUACCUCCUUCAAAUCUUAGGUGCAGAUGUGCCUCCUAUAAAACAUUAUCCCAACAUUUCUAUCCAACUCAGAUCAUAUUUAUUCUAGGCUUUUUACAUUCCUUCCCCUCCAAGUAUAAAUAUAAAGUUUCUGCUCCAUCUCUGGCCUCCCAACCACACUCAAGAUGAAUUGUUUAGUGACCUUAGCUAAACUUCCAGAUAUAUGGGGGCUGGCCUCAAGGUUGAAUAAUAGAAGGCAACGUCUUGCCCUUUCCUUCCUCAGAGGGUAAGGUUUCCACAUGACUCCAAAGACUUAGUCUCAAGCUACAGAAUAGUCCCCCUUAUCCACGGUUUGCCUUUCCACAGUUUCAGUUACCUGUGGUCAACUGCCAUCUGAAAGCAGAUGGUCCUCCUUCUGACCUAUCAUCGGAAGGCCACUAGUAGACUAAUGCUGUGUCACAACGCCUACAUCAUUCACCUCCUCCAUCUCAUCACCUAGGCAUUUUAUCAUCUCACAUCAUCACAAGAAGGGUGAGUACAGUACGGUAAGAUAUUUUGAGAGAGAGAAAAGCCACAUGCACAUCACUGUUAUUACCGUAUAUUGUCAUAAUUGUUUUAUUACUGUUGUUGGUAACUGUUAUUGUUACUUACAAAUUUAAUUCUAUUUAUAAAUUCAACUUUAUCAUAGGUAUGUAUGUAUUGGAAAAAACAUAGCAUAUAUAGGAUUUAGGACUAUUUGUUGUUUCAGGCAUCACUCGGGGUCUUGGAACGUAUCCCCUAGAGAUAAAGGACCUUGUUUCUCUGCUCGCUGAUGUCCUGCUGACAUUCACUCCCUGGACACUCCACCUGGGAAAUCAAAGUCAGCAUAACCAGUGGCUUUAUCUUCGCUUGUACACGGGAGCCACCCCUCUACUCUCCUGUUACCUUGCCCGGAAACGAGCCUUGCUUCGGAAUAUUGGAUUUAAAUCUCAGUUG